Molecule: unclassified non-coding RNA, 698 nt
Filed under: Hevea brasiliensis (rubber tree)
Lineage: Eukaryota; Viridiplantae; Streptophyta; Magnoliopsida; Malpighiales; Euphorbiaceae
Source: RNAcentral
CCUCGGGAAUAUAAGUAAAGAAGAUAACCCUAACCCCAUCACCCCCCACAUCAAACUAAGGUUGCGUUUGGCUGCUCGAGGAUCUAAAAACCAUUUACAAAAAAGUUGAGAAGCAAGCAAAAGUGGGGAUAUUCCCUUGUACAACAAAAACUCAUAUCUUCCCAUUCCCUCUUUUUUUAUCCCCCAAGAUCCUCCACAUCAAUACCCUACCGAAAGCCCUAAAAACCCAAAAAUAAAGAUUUAAAAAAAAUAAAAAUAAAGGUGGUUUUUUGGGACCUUUUUUUUUUACUCUACUAAUUUAGUCUUUCAGAUUUUCUUCUUUGACAUGACCAUUACAAGUUUAGAACUCUCUAGGGUCAACAAAAAUGGACACGCCAGGUGGUGAUUUAGUCCAGUCACCGACGGACCCGUCACUGUAGUCUUCCCCAAGUCUCUUGAUGCACCACAAAUCCUCAGGGCACGAUAGCAUUUUCCAGUGUGGAAUUCCUAACUUAAGCGGUUCGCGACUCGACACCUCCGUGGCCACCACCCCGCACCCACGCUCCUUCGCCAAGUUAUGCGCGUAAGCACACAGCGCCUUUACCAUCUUCACUGCAAGUGGACCUUCGCCUCCAAGACCGUACAAAAAAUGCAACCCAAAUGGCCUGAACACCUCGGGCACCGAUGGCAACCUCAGAAACGGCAACGCCUUGUCAACC